CUUGCUACCUGACCUAGCGGCGGACGGGUGAGUAAUGCUUAGGAAUCUGCCUAUUAGUGGGGGACAACAUUCCGAAAGGAAUGCUAAUACCGCAUACGCCCUACGGGGGAAAGCAGGGGAUCACUUGUGACCUUGCGUUAAUAGAUGAGCCUAAGUCGGAUUAGCUAGUUGGUGGGGUAAAGGCCUACCAAGGCGACGAUCUGUAGCGGGUCUGAGAGGAUGAUCCGCCACACUGGGACUGAGACACGGCCCAGACUCCUACGGGAGGCAGCAGUGGGGAAUAUUGGACAAUGGGGGGAACCCUGAUCCAGCCAUGCCGCGUGUGUGAAGAAGGCCUUAUGGUUGUAAAGCACUUUAAGCGAGGAGGAGGCUCUCUUGGUUAAUACCCAAGAUGAGUGGACGUUACUCGCAGAAUAAGCACCGGCUAACUCUGUGCCAGCAGCCGCGGUAAUACAGGGGGUGCGAGCGUUAAUCGGAUUUACUGGGCGUAAAGCGUGCGUAGGCGGCUUUUUAAGUCGGAUGUGAAAUCCCCGAGCUUAACUUGGGAAUUGCAUUCGAUACUGGGAAGCUAGAGUAUGGGAGAGGAUGGUAGAAUUCCAGGUGUAGCGGUGAAAUGCGUAGAGAUCUGGAAGAAUACCGAUGGCGAAGGCAGCCAUCUGGCCUAAUACUGACGCUGAGGUACGAAAGCAUGGGGAGCAAACAGGAUUAGAUACCCUGGUAGUCCAUGCCGUAAACGAUGUCUACUAGCCGUUGGGGCCUUUGAGGCUUUAGUGGCGCAGCUAACGCGAUAAGUAGACCGCCUGGGGAGUACGGUCGCAAGACUAAAACUCAAAUGAAUUGACGGGGGCCCGCACAAGCGGUGGAGCAUGUGGUUUAAUUCGAUGCAACGCGAAGAACCUUACCUGGUCUUGACAUAGUAAGAACUUUCCAGAGAUGGAUUGGUGCCUUCGGGAACUUACAUACAGGUGCUGCAUGGCUGUCGUCAGCUCGUGUCGUGAGAUGUUGGGUUAAGUCCCGCAACGAGCGCAACCCUUUUCCUUAUUUGCCAGCACUUCGGGUGGGAACUUUAAGGAUACUGCCAGUGACAAACUGGAGGAAGGCGGGGACGACGUCAAGUCAUCAUGGCCCUUACGACCAGGGCUACACACGUGCUACAAUGGUCGGUACAAAGGGUUGCUACCUAGCGAUAGGAUGCUAAUCUCAAAAAGCCGAUCGUAGUCCGGAUUGGAGUCUGCAACUCGACUCCAUGAAGUCG
Molecule: ribosomal RNA, 1255 nt
Filed under: uncultured Acinetobacter sp.
Lineage: Bacteria; Pseudomonadati; Pseudomonadota; Gammaproteobacteria; Moraxellales; Moraxellaceae
Description: bacterial SSU rRNA
Rfam family: Bacterial small subunit ribosomal RNA
Source: RNAcentral